This 253-nucleotide ribosomal RNA is filed under the name uncultured bacterium. RNAcentral's name for it is "partial 16S ribosomal RNA". It matches the Rfam family "Bacterial small subunit ribosomal RNA", at positions 524 to 776 of the family's 1533-position model. The record is from RNAcentral.
UACGGGGGGGGCAAGCGUUGUUCGGAAUUACGGGGCGUAAAGGGCGCGUAGGCGGCCUUCUAAGUCAGACGUGAAAUCCCUCGGCUCAACCGAGGAACUGCGUCUGAUACUGGAAGGCUUGAAUCCGGGAGAGGGAUGUGGAAUUCCAGGUGUAGCGGUGAAAUGCGUAGAUAUCUGGAGGAACACCGGUGGCGAAGGCGGCUCACUGGCCCGAUACUGACGCUGAGGCACGAAAGCGUGGGGAGCAAACAGG